UUACAGAUGGUUGUGAGCCACCAUGUGGUUGCUGGGAAUUGAACUCAGGACCUCUGGAAGAACAGUCAUCGCUCUUAACCUCUGAGCCAUCUCUCCAGCCCGCCCUUCAUUUUUUACAUAUUUCUUGCACAUUUUUGCACAUCUGCUGGAUGAAUUUUUUCUAUACUAUAUACGUGGAGACUUUCUUAGUAGGAAGCUCUCUACUGGUGAUGUAUCUUGGGCUACAGUGCAGGAGUUAUUUUCAUGUACUACUUAUGGGUUAUUUGCCUGUAAUUAUCACCUUUGGGCACAAUGUGAACCAAUGUUUCUGUGAAUUAUACUGAAACUGGGACACUUAUCAGUUCAGGUGGGGUGACAAAGACAGCUCAGGGUGCAGAGUGCUUGUUGUGUCAAGACUCCUACAGUGGGUGUGGUAGCUCAUAGAAGAUGAUGCAGGUUUUCUCAGAAACUGUGAGAUCUGCUACAUGCAAGGGCUAUUUUUCCUGGAAUCCUCAGCGGAGGGAGAUCCAUGUGUAAUAUCAGAAGAAAUUAUGGAAAGACAUAAUAUAACUCUCAGAUGGAUAGAAAACCAAAAGCUAUAUAUCAAAUCAGGAGACUAUGCUGAAUUUCAGUGUAAAUCUGGAUAUAGACAAACAAAUACAAGACCUCCAUUACGUACACUGUGCAUUGAUGGUCACAUUGAUUUUCCCAGUUGCUCCAUAUACAUGAUUAAUUCAAAGGAUGAAUGAACCUUUGUUUGGAAAUAUGCAUGCAUAUUGCUAAGAAAGUUCCAGUAUAAGUUUGGGGCUGGAGAGAUGGCUCAGCCGUUAAAGGCUAGGCUCACAACCAAAAAUCAGUAUAAGUUUGAAGUAUUAUUUAACUCAUUUCUUCUCAUAAGUAUAAACUUGUGGUGGUAUAUGAUGAUUAAUUUGGAGCCUAAGAGACCACUGCUACAAAUGCAAAGCAGUGCAUUCAAAACUCUUAAAGCAGAAUGUGCUGUGUGCUAGCACAAAAAAACAAUGGUAAUAAAAGAGAUGUAACUUCUUAGUGUCUGUUUCUACCCAUCGUUUUUCAAAAUCUCUCCAAUCUUCCUCAGGACAUUUUGAUCUAAGGUUCAGAUUCCUGGUGAACAGAAGUCAUAUUGUUUCAUCUUCAAAUUAGUAUUAUCUCACAAAUGUGUAAUAAUCAAACUGUCAUACUUAACAUUACUAAUGAAUAUAAAUAAUUGCCAAAUACUACUUUUGUGUUAAUAAACAAAUCUAAGAAACA
This is a non-coding RNA of Peromyscus maniculatus bairdii (prairie deer mouse), 1248 nucleotides long. Lineage: Eukaryota; Metazoa; Chordata; Mammalia; Rodentia; Cricetidae. The record is from RefSeq and is a predicted model, not a curated record.